Molecule: ribosomal RNA, 366 nt
Filed under: Chaetodon ocellicaudus (spot-tail butterflyfish)
Lineage: Eukaryota; Metazoa; Chordata; Actinopteri; Chaetodontiformes; Chaetodontidae
Description: partial 12S ribosomal RNA
Rfam family: Bacterial small subunit ribosomal RNA
Source: RNAcentral
UAAACAUUGACAGUUAAUUACACCCACUGUCCGCCUGGGGACUACGAGCGCUAGCUUAAAACCCAAAGGACUUGGCGGUGCUUUAGACCCCCCUAGAGGAGCCUGUUCUAGAACCGAUAAUCCCCGUUAAACCUCACCCUUCCUUGCCAUUUCCGCCUAUAUACCGCCGUCGUCAGCUUACCCUGUGAAGGUCCAACAGUAAGCGCAAUCGGUAAAGCCCAAAACGUCAGGUCGAGGUGUAGCGAAUGGAAGGGGAAGAAAUGGGCUACAUUUACUGACACAGUAAAUACGGAUGAUACCCUGCAACGAGUAUCUGAAGGAGGAUUUAGCAGUAAGCAAAAAGCAGAGUGUUUUGCUGAAACUGGC